RNAcentral lists this ribosomal RNA (253 nucleotides) under uncultured bacterium. RNAcentral describes it as "partial 16S ribosomal RNA". It matches the Rfam family "Bacterial small subunit ribosomal RNA", at positions 524 to 776 of the family's 1533-position model. The record is from RNAcentral.
UACGGGGGGGGCAAGCGUUGUUCGGAAUUACUGGGCGUAAAGGGCUCGUAGGUGGCCAACUAAGUCAGACGUGAAAUCCCUCGGCUUAACCGGGGAACUGCGUCUGAUACUGGAUGGCUUGAGUUUGGGAGAGGGACGCGGAAUUCCAGGUGUAGCGGUGAAAUGCGUAGAUAUCUGGAGGAACACCGGUGGCGAAGGCGGCGUCCUGGGGUUGUCUUGACGCUGAGGCGCGAAAGCUGGGGGAGCGAACGGG